RNAcentral lists this ribosomal RNA (272 nucleotides) under uncultured prokaryote. RNAcentral describes it as "partial 16S ribosomal RNA". It matches the Rfam family "Bacterial small subunit ribosomal RNA", at positions 524 to 798 of the family's 1533-position model. The record is from RNAcentral.
UACGUAGGGGCGAGCGUUGUCCGGAUUUACUGGGCGUAAAGGGUGAGUGGGCGGUUAUAUAUGUCAGGUGUAAAAGCUAUGGCUUAACCAUAGUAAGCACUUGAAACUGUAUGACUUGAGUGCAGGAGAGGUAAGCGGAAUUCCUAGUGUAGCGGUGAAAUGCGUAGAUAUUAGGAGGAACACCGGUGGCGAAGGCGGCUUACUGGACUGUAACUGACGCUGAGUCACGAAAGCGUGGGUAGCAAACAGGAUUAGAUACCCUGGUAGUCCCU